Molecule: long non-coding RNA, 1426 nt
Organism: Papaver somniferum (opium poppy)
Lineage: Eukaryota; Viridiplantae; Streptophyta; Magnoliopsida; Ranunculales; Papaveraceae
Exons: 5
Source: RefSeq, a predicted model, not a curated record
CUCUCAAUCCGCCGCUGCUUCUUCUUUUUCUACUGCUUCUCUUCUACAUUAAAAAAGCGGAGAUUCAUCAACGAAAUCCAUCAAAAACAUCAGAGUUUCUCUAUUCUUUUCAUCAACAGCAGCUGAAAACGAAGAUUCAUCAACAACAUCAUUUCUUGAAGAUUUGUUCUGAAUCGAUGAAGAGCAGUCGAUGAGGAUCAUCGACAAUAGUCAUUUACAUAUAUAUAUUUUCUCUUUCAUGUUGUUGGUACCCUAGUUUUGUUUCUGUUUUAAUUGAUGCUGGUGGUAAUUUGAAUUUUAGGGAAGAUGUUCUUAACAAAUUCUCUUCGUAUUAUGAUUUUUAAUCUAGGGUUUUGAGAUUCUAUUUUGAUUUGAUUUGGGGGGUUCUCUAAUUGUUAUGAAUCAGGGUUUCCAAUGGUUUUAAUCACAGUCAUGGAGCUUCCUGGGUUGUAAUUAGAUUCUCUGAUAGAAAUGUUAAAAUCUGAAAUUUGGAUUUUGAGAUCGUGGUUGUACCCAAAGUUAGGGUUUUAUGGUUGCUCUAGUUGGCAUUACUGAUUAGUUUACUUUCUUAUUAAUUUGAUUUCAGAGGUUCUUCAAUUGUUUGGAAUUAGGGUUUUCUUGUUUCUGGGAUUUGAGAUUAGGAUAUGUCAAAACCUGAGGUUUUCUUGUUUCUGGGAUUUAAUCAGUUAUGAAACUUCCUGGGUUGUGAUUAGAUUCUUCAACAGGAAUACCAAACUUAGUUUUUGGAAUUUCCAAUACUGAUUAGUCAAGAUAAAAUUAUUUUCUCAUAACGUAUUUCUUCUUGUAGGUUAUCCUUUCUGAUGCUAAUGUUCCUUGUGAAGGGGAACACAAAAUUAUGUCUUAUGUUCGUCUCAAAGAAACCUUCCUGGUUUCAAUCCAAAUACUCGUCACUGCCUCUAUGGUUUAACAGGUGUAUUCCACGGAAUCAAGAAAGAUGGCGAGGGUGACACGGUUGAUUGCAAGAGUAGGUUGGAACUUCUUAUGGUGUCAUCUCCUGAUCGAGAAGAGGUGGAUGGGAGGAUGAUGACACUAUAGGCGAAGCCGCAUGUCAUGAAGCCUUGGAGGAAGCUGGAGUUAAAGGAAUACUAAAUGUGUUGAAGCUGUUGAUCUUGUACUUCCGAUUUCUGUUGCAGUUUCGGUUAUCCAGUUUUACAAUAUAGCACUUCAGCAUGUGCGUGACCUUUACCUGGAGUUAAGGAAGAAAUAUAGGGACCUACAUAUGCGCUGCAAAGUUUGUAACUCAGUGGACCUGUUUUCAGAAGAAUACAUUUCGUGAGUUUCUAUAUGUACACUAGUUUGCUGUGAUACUUAGCAUACAUUUAUAUCAAACUUUUUGUUCAACUUCAAUUGAAGAAUCCCUUUUUUAUAAUUAAUACAGUUUUGUACGUCUAUUGAAUGAAUGUUG